RNAcentral lists this small RNA (918 nucleotides) under uncultured bacterium. RNAcentral describes it as "bacterial SSU rRNA". The stretch from base 1 to 419 matches the Rfam family "Bacterial small subunit ribosomal RNA", at positions 1114 to 1533 of the family's 1533-position model. The record is from RNAcentral.
GUUGCCAGCACAUUAUGGUGGGGACUCUAAGGAGACUGCCUGGGAUAACUAGGAGGAAGGUGGGGAUGAUGUCAAGUCAGUAUGUCCCUUAUGUCCAGGGCUACACACGUGUUACAAUGGUUGGUACAAUGGGCUGCUAAACCGCAAGGUGGAGCCAAUCCCUAAAACCAACCCCAGUUCGGAUUGGAGUCUGCAACUCGACUCCAUGAAGCAGGAAUCGCUAGUAAUCGUGGAUCAGAACGCCACGGUGAAUACGUUCCCGGGUCUUGUACACACCGCCCGUCACGCCAUGGAAGUCAGUAGUACCCGAAUCGGGUGGCCUAACCUUCGGGAGGGAGCUCGUUAAGGUAAGACUGGUAACUGGGGCGAAGUCGUAACAAGGUAGCCGUACCGGAAGGUGCGGCUGGAUCACCUCCUUUUAAGGAGUAUCUCGAAGUGAUUCGAGAGAGGUCGAACCGGUAAUCGGUAAGACCGUCGCAUGCUAUAUUUUAAUUGCCACUAUAGUGGAUAAUGCUUUUUGGAAAAUUUUUAUUUGAUGAGUAUUUCAUCAGAAUGGGCUUGUAGCUCAGGUGGUUAGAGCGCAUCCCUGAUAAGGAUGAGGUCCGUGGUUCGAGUCCACGCAGGCCCACUUGAUCUGCUGUCAUCCAUUCAGUUUAUGGGGCUGUAGCUCAGUUGGGAGAGCGCCUGAUUUGCAUUCAGGAGGUCGCAGGUUCGAUCCCUGUCAGCUCCACAGCAAAAGAUUUAUUGUUUUUUGACAAUUUGGAAAUUGGAAAGAUUGAAUCACCAAGUCCGGUGAUUCAAUGUAGCCAAGUCAUCUUCAAGAACAACACUUUGGUAAAGCUACUAAGGGUGUACGGGGGAUGCCUAGGCACAUGGAGACGAUGAAGGGCGUGAUAAGCUGCGAUAAGCCUCGGGUAG